This is a non-coding RNA of Phascolarctos cinereus (koala), 834 nucleotides long. The record is from RefSeq and is a predicted model, not a curated record. NCBI's taxonomy places the organism in Eukaryota, Metazoa, Chordata, Mammalia, Diprotodontia, Phascolarctidae.
GCCCUGAAUUCCAGUUCCAAAGGAGGGCUACAUGACACUGGGCAGGUACCUUCCUCUCUUUGGGACCUACUGAAAAACGGGGCCUUGGACUGACUAGGUGGUCCUGAGGUCCUGCCCAGGUCCGAUCUUCCGGGAAGUCCAAGAAUUGGCCUGGAGUAAAGCCCCAGCCAACUAGGAGGAUGCCUGUAGAAGAGCCGGCGGUCAAGCUUAGGAGCCAAACCCACCAUGAGCUCCCGAACCUCGGACCCGUAUGACUGAGGACGCAGCUCCGGAACCUGAAAGUUCAGGGACUCAGCCUGGAGAUCCCUGGAUCCGGCCCAGGACCCGGGGAACGAUCCAGGGACCCGGUCACUUGCAAGGGGAGAGAAGUAAACAGCUCAGGGAAACUAGCGGUCGUCUCUUCUCCCAGGUGAACAUCACCAGGUUCUUCACCUGAUGCCAAGGUGGCCCCAUCUCCAGUCCUUCACCACCCUAUUCAUCAACCCUCUCCAGUGAGUCCCAUCUCCCAAUGUCCUUCCUAAUGUGGGGGGCCCAGUGCUGCAGGUGGAACCUGACCAGGGACAAUCCCCCACCCCAUCCAGGACAUUCCACCUCUCCCUAGAGCAGAAGGUGGCACCAGUUUUCAGAACCGCUGUAGAGGACCACAGGAACAGCACAGGAGAAGGACACAGCCAAGAUAAUGUUACAAAGAGAUGUGCUUGUUGAUACUUUGAUUGGAAUUCAUAUAAGAAAAAUUCUCGGUGUUGCCCAUUGGUAAAGCUAUGUAAACUUUGUUCCAUUGGGGUAUGUUCCCAUGAGUCAAAGAUAUAAAACAGCCUGCUGUGCUCUAAUAAA